Non-coding RNA from Phrynosoma platyrhinos (Desert horned lizard), 72 nucleotides. The record is from the annotation of a GenBank genome assembly. NCBI's taxonomy places the organism in Eukaryota, Metazoa, Chordata, Lepidosauria, Squamata, Phrynosomatidae.
GCCAGUGUGGUGUAGUGGUUUGCGCAUUGGACUACUACUUUGGAGGCCAGGGUUCAAUUCCCAGCUAAACCA